This 182-nucleotide ribosomal RNA is filed under the name Escherichia coli. RNAcentral describes it as "partial 23S ribosomal RNA". It matches the Rfam family "Bacterial large subunit ribosomal RNA", at positions 2766 to 2925 of the family's 2925-position model. Lineage: Bacteria; Pseudomonadati; Pseudomonadota; Gammaproteobacteria; Enterobacterales; Enterobacteriaceae. The record is from RNAcentral.
AAGUGCUGAAAGCAUCUAAGCACGAAACUUGCCCCGAGAUGAGUUCUCCCUGACUCCUUGAGAGUCCUGAAGGAACGUUGAAGACGACGACGUUGAUAGGCCGGGUGUGUAAGCGCAGCGAUGCGUUGAGCUAACCGGUACUAAUGAACCGUGAGGCUUAACCUUACAACGCCGAAGCUGUU